Molecule: ribosomal RNA, 468 nt
Filed under: uncultured bacterium
Lineage: Bacteria
Description: partial 16S ribosomal RNA
Rfam family: Bacterial small subunit ribosomal RNA
Source: RNAcentral
GACGAACGCUGGCGGCGUGCUUAACACAUGCAAGUCGAACGGAAAGGCCCUGCUUUUGUGGGGUGCUCGAGUGGCGAACGGGUGAGUAACACGUGAGUAACCUGCCCUUGACUUUGGGAUAACUUCAGGAAACUGGGGCUAAUACCCGAUAGGAGCUCCUGCUGCAUGGUGGGGGUUGGAAAGUUUCGGCGGUUGGGGAUGGACUCGCGGCUUAUCAGCUUGUUGGUGGGGUAGUGGCUUACCAAGGCUUUGACGGGUAGCCGGCCUGAGAGGGUGACCGGCCACAUUGGGACUGAGAUACGGCGCAGACUCCUACGGGAGGCAGCAGUGGGGAAUAUUGCACAAUGGGCGGAAGCCUGAUGCAGCAACGCCGCGUGCGGGAUGACGGCCUUCGGGUUGUAAACCGCUUUCGCCUGUGACGAAGCGUGAGUGACGGUAAUGGGUAAAGAAGCACCGGCUAACUACGUG